Molecule: long non-coding RNA, 369 nt
Organism: Bos taurus (domestic cattle)
Lineage: Eukaryota; Metazoa; Chordata; Mammalia; Artiodactyla; Bovidae
Source: Ensembl
AGUAUUAUUUUCAAUUUUCAGGUCAAGAUCCAAAAGUUUGGGUGAAUAACUCCCUGUUCAGAGGUUUUAUGCUCUUAAUGUGAAGUGGAUAUGGGCAUCUGGAUUUGGAAACUGAAGACCAGGCUCUGUAUGGUGUUUCUGACUCAAGAAACAUGUGACUUGGGAGGCCUGGGUUCCAUCCCUGGAUUGAGAAGAUCUCCUAGAGAAGGGAAUAGCAACCCACUCCAGUUUUCUUGCCUGAAGAAUUCCAUGGACAGAGGCGCCUGGCAGGCUACAGUUCAUGGUGUCUCAAAGAGUCAGACGUGAAUGAGUGACUAAUACUAACUAACUUUUAGCCCUGAACAAACAUUUGUCAAAUAAAGGUUAUUC